AGGAGGAAAUCCUAUGUGUCUGCUCCCAGAGCUGCCACAACCCAUCUUCCCACAACUCGGAACUUGGAAAAAGGAACCCAGGACACGACUUUGCUUUUCUUUUGGACCUAGUUGCAACUUUUAAAAGCAUUUCCAUUGCACAGUGAAAGAAAACCACAAACUCCUUGUUUAAUAACUCGGAUCAUGUGCUUUUAACGAGAGGAAAAGGUCAAGUCUGAAGCAACUGAUAUGGAACUGCCAGAGUAGGAGUUGAAAAUAUUCCUAAACUGCUGGAGGAUACACCUCUGAUAGCUUGAGACAAAUAUCCUCUUGAUUAUUGUUUCACCAUAUUUGUCUUUGCUCACAGAGAACCAUUUUGACCUGUGGUUUAGCCUCCCAGGUGAUUGAACAAUAGCGGUGAUC
This 402-nucleotide long non-coding RNA is filed under the name Pongo abelii (Sumatran orangutan). RNAcentral's name for it is "lincRNA". The record is from RNAcentral. Lineage: Eukaryota; Metazoa; Chordata; Mammalia; Primates; Hominidae.